GACGAACGCUGGCGGCGUGCUUAACACAUGCAAGUCGAGCGGUAAGGCCCUUUCGGGGGUACACGAGCGGCGAACGGGUGAGUAACACGUGGGUGACCUGCCCUCAGCUCUGGGAUAAGCCUGGGAAACCGGGUCUAAUACUGGAUAUGACUCCAUGACGCAUGUUGUGGGGUGGAAAGCCUUGUGCGGCUGAGGAUGGGCCCGCGGCCUAUCAGCUUGUUGGUGGGGUGAUGGCCUACCAAGGCGACGACGGGUAGCCGGCCUGAGAGGGCGACCGGCCACACUGGGACUGAGACACGGCCCAGACUCCUACGGGAGGCAGCAGUGGGGAAUCCUGCGCAAUGGGCGAAAGCCUGACGCAGCGACGCCGCGUGAGGGAUGACGGCCU
This 388-nucleotide ribosomal RNA is filed under the name uncultured bacterium. RNAcentral's name for it is "bacterial SSU rRNA". It matches the Rfam family "Bacterial small subunit ribosomal RNA", at positions 28 to 417 of the family's 1533-position model. The record is from RNAcentral.